RNAcentral lists this ribosomal RNA (638 nucleotides) under uncultured bacterium. RNAcentral's name for it is "bacterial SSU rRNA". The stretch from base 1 to 542 matches the Rfam family "Bacterial small subunit ribosomal RNA", at positions 338 to 873 of the family's 1533-position model. The record is from RNAcentral.
CCUACGGGAGGCAGCAGUGGGGAAUUUUGGACAAUGGGCGAAAGCCUGAUCCAGCAAUGCCGCGUGAGUGAAGAAGGCCUUCGGGUUGUAAAGCUCUUUUGUCAGGGAAGAAACGGUGAAAGCUAAUAUCUUUUGCUAAUGACGGUACCUGAAGAAUAAGCACCGGCUAACUACGUGCCAGCAGCCGCGGUAAUACGUAGGGUGCAAGCGUUAAUCGGAAUUACUGGGCGUAAAGCGUGCGCAGGCGGUUUUGUAAGUCUGAUGUGAAAUCCCCGGGCUCAACCUGGGAAUUGCAUUGGAGACUGCAAGGCUAGAAUCUGGCAGAGGGGGGUAGAAUUCCACGUGUAGCAGUGAAAUGCGUAGAUAUGUGGAGGAACACCGAUGGCGAAGGCAGCCCCCUGGGUCAAGAUUGACGCUCAUGCACGAAAGCGUGGGGAGCAAACAGGAUUAGAUACCCUGGUAGUCCACGCCCUAAACGAUGUCUACUAGUUGUCGGGUCUUAAAUUGACUUGGUAACGCAGCGACGACGUGAGUAGACCGCCGUCGGGAGGUAACGGUCGUCGAGAAGUUAAACGUUAACGUUAAAGUAGAAGUUAGACGGCGUUGAGACGNGCGACGGACGACGACGAGGGAGGAGG